AAAACCCUGCCCCCUUGUUUCAUUUGCAACUGUUUUUCAGGGACAACCUAACUCCAGAGAGCAGAGGCAAAACUGGGGUUUUUGGAUUGCAGUACCUCCUGCCAGCUGAAAAUGAGGACCGCGCCACUGGAGAUGUUAUUCUCUGGAGCACUCCCCAGUAAACUCUCCAUCUAAGAGUCUGUUUCCCAGAGAAUUCAUCUAAAACAGUAGCUUGGUGACCUAGUUCAUGAAGACUUGCUUGCUAAAGUCUCCAACAUCCUCAUCUCCAGCAUCUCUUCAAUAAAAUAGCCAACAUAAUUUAGACACUGCUGGCCACCUUCCACAAAGAAAGGGCAUCCUCUGCUUUUUCAGCCUGCUGUGUUGUGAGUUACCUCCCCUUUGGAUGUUUUCUGUGUUCACCUUUUUAAAGCCUGCAUUUUCAACAAUGGGUGGUUGGUUUUAAAUCAUGUGACUCUGCUUUGAGAUACUCAUCAGUAGGUGGAAGAACACUAAACUGUUAAGACCUGGCUUAUGACUUAUUACUGAGAUUCAGCUUAAGGGAAAUGCAAUACAAGUGGCAGUGUCAGAACAUUAAUAGUGUUAUUUGCAUUUUCCUGAGAAUGCAAGGACAUUUGGGACUAUGAUUCCUCUAGAGUGAUCAUCUGUAACUAUUAUAUUAAUUCUACUUUUUUUACAACUCAAUUUCUGACAAUAAUUUGCAUCCUUGAAACACAUUCUUUGCCAUUAAUAGUCCUACCUACAUUUUAACCCACAGUGCAAAAUUGGCAGCUAUAAAUUUACUCAGUCUGUUCAGAAAGUGACCAAACAAAACAGUGCCUUAAUGAUCACUGAAACAUUAAACAACACAAAAAGUGCACUGACAUGCAAUAAAAUAUCCUACACCCUUCUUCAAAAAUCUUGUGAAAAACUUAAAAUGCACUUUUUGCAUUCUAUUGGUAAAAACAAGUCUUUUUAAUGUUACUUAAGAAAAAGACACCAAGAAGGAAUUCACUUAAAAGAAACAAAAUGGGAUAACUGAAAAAUUGUGCUCUACACUGGAAUUUGACACAACAUUGUAAAAUGACUAUAACUCAAUUAAAAAAUGUUAAAAAAAAUAAUUAUAACAGCUAAGUUCAUAGGUACAGAGAAGAGAUUAGUAGUUGUCAAAGUCGAGAGCUGGUGAAAUGGGUGAAUGGGGUCAAGAGUUACAGACUUCCAGUUAUGAAAUAAGUAACUUGUGAGGAUGUAGUGUACAAUAUGGUGACUAUAGUUAACAAUAAUAUAUUGCAUAUUUGAAAGUGGUUAAGAGAAUGAAUCUUAAAAAUUCUCAUCACAAGAAAAAAACUGUUGUAACUAUACAUGGUGACAGAUGUUAACUAGACUUAACUGUGGUGAUCAUUUUUCAGUGCAUACAAACAUCAAAUCAUUAUA
Camelus dromedarius (Arabian camel) is the source of this 1410-nucleotide long non-coding RNA. RefSeq lists it as uncharacterized. The transcript has 4 exons. The record is from RefSeq and is a predicted model, not a curated record. NCBI's taxonomy places the organism in Eukaryota, Metazoa, Chordata, Mammalia, Artiodactyla, Camelidae.